This 72-nucleotide ribosomal RNA is filed under the name Neofusicoccum parvum. RNAcentral describes it as "partial 28S ribosomal RNA". Lineage: Eukaryota; Fungi; Ascomycota; Dothideomycetes; Botryosphaeriales; Botryosphaeriaceae. The record is from RNAcentral.
AACCUUUGAAUUAUUUCUCAAGGUUGACCUCGGAUCAGGUAGGGAUACCCGCUGAACUUAAGCAUAUCAAUA